RNAcentral lists this long non-coding RNA (1369 nucleotides) under Triticum aestivum (bread wheat). RNAcentral describes it as "long non-coding RNA (TAES_LNC000726)". The record is from RNAcentral. Lineage: Eukaryota; Viridiplantae; Streptophyta; Magnoliopsida; Poales; Poaceae.
UGAGACAGAAAUAAAGAUGGUAGACUGGAGAUAACUGGAAGAAGCCCCUAUCAAUUCCCUAAAAAUUAAAGCAACUUUUCUUGUAAUUCCAGGCAACCAUGUUAAAAACUGGAGCAACUAUUUGCAAGUAGUUCCAUGAUAGUAGGCAUCUGUUUGUAGAGUAACAAAUAAAAAAGGUAAACUGCAGAUCACUGAAUAUAAAGCUCACAUGAAUUCAAUAAAACUGAAGCACUUUUAGUUGAAAAUUGCAGGCGAAGUCAUCCUUUGAAGCAACAAAUUUCACAAAAAAAUGAGUUUAUGUCAGUAAAAUCAGUUGUAUCUCAUGCAAAACCAACACCAAAACCCCCUUAGUUGCAUCAAAUGUGCAUUCGGCAUAGACACUGGUUCUUGAGUUUGCUCUUCAAUCACAGCCGGCAUACGCAAUAGUUCUCCAUGUUGCUCUUCGGCCACAUUUGGCACAACCUUCUUUUUCGUAGCAUGUCUCCGGAAAAUAAAAUAACGUUUCCGGUCUUCUUCAUUCUUCAGUAAUUCUGCAAUGAUAAUUUACAUUCUUUCAAAUUUCAAUCAUAACACCAUAGCUUAUCACUUGACAUUCUUUCUGAAAGUAAAUUAUUUACCACAAACCCAGAUAAGCUAGGACAUGUCAUGGUAGCCAAAACUACUCUAGAACAAGGCAUCCCUGGACUUUGUUGUAUCAUGAUAUCAUGCACCUCAAAACUACUCUCCAGUUAGCCUUAUUUGAUUCAGUAGCGGACUACUUUUAGACGGAACAACAGACACCACAGAAACAUCCUCCUAGAACCAUAACAACACACUAACCAUCAUCCAUCCAUUGAUUUCCACCAAGUACGAUUAAUUGUACAAGUAUAUCUCAAGAAGCCAAGAUAGGCAGAUCCUCCAUGGGGAACAGCUGCCAUCUACAAGUAGCAGGAGGGGCAAACCUAAGACUGGCGCUGCACUGAAAAAGACUGACGCGGUGGCGCCUGGCGACCGGUGGGGCACGGGGGCAGACCGCGGGCAGGGACCGCCGAACUAGCGGGGUCGCGCCUGGCGCUGGCGAGAGCUGGGAGGGGUCGGCGACGCGGGCGAGGAAUGCGUGGCUGCGCAACGCAUAGAGGAGCAGAGGCGAAUCGAGUCGGGGCACGGCCGUCCGGGUGGCUCCUGUCAUCCUGUGCGUGGGUGGGCUGCUUCUACUAGUACAGUACUAGUACAAGUGAGGUGAGGGGGAUGAAGAAGCUGUACCAGGAAAGAGGCGGCGGGUGCACGAGGGGCCGGCGCCGUCCGCGGCGGACGCGUCGGCGGUGGCGCCGUUGAUGUUGCCGGCGACCCUGCUGGCGCCUGUGGCGGCGCGACGAGGCAGUGGGCGGGG